RNAcentral lists this ribosomal RNA (415 nucleotides) under uncultured soil bacterium. Its description in RNAcentral is "bacterial SSU rRNA". It matches the Rfam family "Bacterial small subunit ribosomal RNA", at positions 26 to 429 of the family's 1533-position model. The record is from RNAcentral.
AGAUUGAACGCUGGCGGCAGGCCUAACACAUGCAAGUCGAGCGGCAGCACGGGUACUUGUACCUGGUGGCGAGCGGCGGACGGGUGAGUAAUGCCUAGGAAUCUGCCUGGUAGUGGGGGAUAACGCUCGGAAACGGACGCUAAUACCGCAUACGUCCUACGGGAGAAAGCAGGGGACCUUCGGGCCUUGCGCUAUCAGAUGAGCCUAGGUCGGAUUAGGCUAGUUGGUGAGGUAAUGGCUCACCAAGGCGACGAUCCGUAACUGGUCUGAGAGGAUGAUCAGUCACACUGGAACUGAGACACGGUCCAGACUCCGUACGGGAGCAGCAGGUGGGAAUAGUGGACAAGUGGGACGAAAGCCUAGAUCCGAGCCAUCGCCGCGUGUGUAGAAGAAGGUUCGUUACGGAUUUAGUAAA